AAGUCGUAACAAGGUUUCCGUAGGUGAACCUGCGGAAGGAUCAUUAUUGAAUAACUUGGUGUUGAGCUGGCCCUAGUCGGGCAUGUGCUCGCAUCAUAUUAUUUAUCUAUCUCUUGUGCACCUUUUGUAGUCUUUGAAGCAUUUGCAGUCAAUGCAGUUUUGGGUCUUGGGCUUUGUCGCCCUUUGCCCUGUUUGCUUCAGAGGCUAUGUUUUUAUACACCCUAUUUGAAGUCACAGAAUGUCUAUUAUUGACUUGAAAGUCAGUAAAUCUAUACAACUUUCAGCAACGGAUCUCUUGGCUCUC
This 304-nucleotide unclassified non-coding RNA is filed under the name air metagenome. RNAcentral describes it as "partial contains small subunit ribosomal RNA, internal transcribed spacer 1, and 5.8S ribosomal RNA". The stretch from base 1 to 46 matches the Rfam family "Eukaryotic small subunit ribosomal RNA", at positions 1786 to 1831 of the family's 1831-position model. The record is from RNAcentral.